This 12943-nucleotide long non-coding RNA is filed under the name Malus domestica (apple). RNAcentral's name for it is "long non-coding RNA (MDOM_LNC012914)". Lineage: Eukaryota; Viridiplantae; Streptophyta; Magnoliopsida; Rosales; Rosaceae. The record is from RNAcentral.
UCUACUUGAAUGCUUGAUUCCGUAUUAGUAACUAUGUUUUACAAUCGUUGUAAAAGUGUGACUAAUAAGAAGUAAAAGAUAUAUGAGAGAAGAAAAAGGUGCUUCACAUUCGGAACGUGAAUAAAAUAUAGAUCUCUGCGAAAGCAGAUAGUACUUACUUCCUCAUAUGAACUACCAAAGAAAUUGGAAAAACCAAAGAUAGUCUUUACAUUCCAAUUUUAAGGAACUUAAUUCCGUCGCUAUAGUAGAGAUGGAUGAAUGCUUUGUUUGACAAAACAUUGUUCUUUAUUAAUCAAUGAUUGGAUUAUAGUAAUCUAAUUGAUUGUCUCUAUAGUAGAGAUGAUAUGGUAGUGUUAACUGUUUAGAAUAUAAUGAUGCUUAAAACCCAAAAGGUUGCAAGGUAGUGACUAAUCCCAACUGAGUUGUGAUACCUCUAAAACAUAAGUUAUGAGUUGGUGAAAAUGGAUGCUUUGGAUUGUUAGAUCCGGAUCCAAUACCUUCUUAUUAAAAUUGUACAGAGGCGAAAUGUUCGAAUCUUUAUUCUUUUGGAAAGAAGAAAGAUUCACAAAGUUGUUGAGGUUAAUUCACUUAGAUAUUAGUGGCACUUGUCCACAACAUAAUACUACUCAUGUUGUAUGACGUUCACCGAAGAUCACUCUCGGUUGGACUAUAGUUUAUUUUGAAUAAACACAAGUCCGAAUACUUUGCAAAAGGUUUCAAAGAAUUCAAGAAAUGUAAGUUAAUGAGUAAGACGUCUAAAGUAUUUACCUCCUUAGAUUUGAUCCAAGGAAAAGUAACACUUUAGAUGAGUUUCCUUGAAAGAUAUCAAGGAAAGAAGCAUCAUAAGAUAAUGAAUUUCUCCAUUAGGAGAAGAACGAACUUGAAUAAGAUUUAGUUCGUUAGAUGUUAUCUAUUACCCAUAUAUAGGAUAUAUACUUCUAAAAACAAUAUGAUUGUAAAUUAGAAGAUCUUUCCAAAAUUUUCAUGACUCCAUAAGAUGUAGUUGGAAAGAAAGACAAAUCUUAAGCAUGUUAAGAUUUGGGGUUGUGUGCUAAUUAGCAAUAUUUGUUUGAUAACAAUCUUGUGGGAUAUCCUUAAAUUAACUUUUGGAUAUCGCUUCUAUAAACCAACUAACAAAUGUUGUUUUGUUGGGUAGUUCAUUGUAAUCCUACAAUGUGAUUUGCCUAAGAGCUAAUGAACGAGAGAUAGAACUCAAAGGAUGGGUUCUUUGAGAGACAAGAAAGUAAUCAACAAAUAUAACAACCUAGUUCCUAUACCAAAGGCUCCAAGGUAGUCGAGAAGGAUUUAUAAACCGUCUCAGUUGAAUGGUUUGAACUUUAUGACUAUGUCAUAGAGUUACACCUCUUAAUUCGAAAGAAAUAAGAAUGAAAAUCCUUAUGACUACAUUGAGUGUAUAUAUGAUAUAUACUCAAGGCAAUGGUAAAGUACCAUUUGACCCGAAAUAAUGAAACCUUCAUAAGCUAAUUGGUAGCUUAAGGUGACUACAAUCAAAGAGCAUGGUUGACUUUGAAGAAACCAUCUUUGAGAUAGUCUAGGUUUCAAUUAAUUCGAAGAUUGCUAGCUACAACUAAAUUGUGAUUCAAUGUUUGGACAUUAUAUGGGUUUCCGAAACCAUUAUUAAGAUAGUCUUGAUAAUAUAUGUCUAAAACUAUAAAUCACAAGACAUGUAAAUUGUAGAGAUCCAUCCAUCAUGGAUCUUAGCAAGCUAAUGGGAGCUAUAAGCAUCUUAUGAGAAAAGGAUCAAAUCGUUUGAUUUCUCAUAAAGAUGUAAAUGAAUCUUUUGUUUACUAGGUUUACAAAAGAUUAGUGGGAGUUAAUAAUGUUCCUAAAAUUUAAAAUAUAUAUAUGAUAUAUUAAUUUUGGAAAUGAAAAGAAUACUUCUCCAUUAAAGUUAUGACUUUAAUACAUUAUAUGAAGAUAGAAUGUAUAUGGAAGUUAAUCAUGUUCCUAAAAUUUAAAUAUAUAUAUGAUAUAUUAAUUUUGGAAAUGAAAAGAAUACUUCUUCGUUAAAGUUAUGACUUUAAAACAUUAUAUGAAGAUAGAAUGUAUAUGGGAGACAUAGUAUAUAUACAUGGGAUGGAAAUCUAUAUUGAUAGAUUUUAGGAUAUAAUUGGAUUAUAUCAAGCCCUAAAUACAGACAAAAGAUGAUAGGAAGUUUCUCAUAUGAUGAUGAACUUCAAUCAAAUGGACAACUCUAGUAAGACUAAGGAGUUGCUCUUCUCAAAGAGAACGUACUCUUUGACUCCCAAAGAAAUAAUGCGUAAAUAGAAUCCUUUAUGCAUACGCAGAAAGGUGAUUUAUGUAUUUCAUAUUGUAUGAAAAACAUUGAUAUGAGUUGUACCUAGAAAGGUGCAAGACGAUAUCAGUGCAAGCCCAGGAUCAGAACCAUGGCAACUGUCAAGUGAGUCCUUAAGUAUUUAAGAAAUACUAAAGGAUAAAUUCCUCAAAGAUCGAGGAAGAAUUAGAGUAACGUAAUGGAAGCGUAAAUGUAUUAGAUUAUGAAUCUAAUCCAUCAUUGGAUGUUUCUUCAUUAUGAAUGAAGAGAUAAACAAAUAUCUCUUUAUUAUGACUAAAGAGAUAUUUGGAUGGAAACAUUAAAGUAAUGACUUUAGUGUGUUCCAUUAUGAAUGCAAAAUAUAUUGCCAUAUAGAAGUUUACAACAAUGUUGUUUGGAUGGGAAAGUUCAUUUAUGAACUCUCUAUUCGGUUCCAACCAGAAAGUGUAUGACACUAAUGGGGCGAUAGCUCAAGCCAGGGAAUCAAGGUCUCAUCAAGGUCCGAACUCAAAUGAGAGACUGAACCACAUGAUUGAGAAUCAUGUAUAAUGGUGACGUCGUUAUUCUCAAGGUUGCUUCUAUGGAUAACAUAUAGAUAUCCAUUGUCUAGGCCUACUACUCAGCCAUUUAUGAAAUGACUACAGAAGAGGUAUCAUCACUGAUGAACAAGCUGAUUGGCUCUAGUGCAAGUGGGAGAUUGUUGGAAAUGUGCCCUAAAACCAAUCAUAUGAUGAUACUUUACGAACAUUUCACAUGUUAAACUAAUCUAGUUUAAUAUCAAGGGCAUAGAUUAUUGUUUUAAGCCGUCUCAUAUAAAUGUUAUAUGCUUAAACGAUAAGUCCAAGGAAUAUGUGAUUGGGAGAAUACGAUCUAAAGAAGUUAGAUUCAUGAGACCAUUCUUUCGUAGACACAUCCUAAGCGUUCCUGAUCAUAGGAUUGCCAAUUGGGCAUUGACAGUCCGUUAAGAUCAGUACGUGCUGUGUCUUCUCUCAGGGAGAGUGACUAGUCUCGAGUCAUUGGUGUGUGUGACAUCAAGACAAGUACGUAGGUGUUCAAUAGAGAAUGAGUUCACUGAACACGAUCAACGAAGAGUUCUCAUAUUCAUGUCACAUGAGAACUCAUGGUUGGGAUAAUGCAAAGUAGUCCUUUGACCUGAGGUAUCAGAGCUGUCUUGUGGUUAAGUCCUUGAUCUUUGAUUAUGUCAAAGUCACCCCAUCCGCGGGUGUCCACGGCAUCGUUGGGGUUAAGCUACUUAGCCAUGGAGGCAAGUGAAUGCGCAACAAGGGAUCUCUAACCUUCAAACCGUUUGAGGGAGAAUACUCUAUGAUAUGAUUAAGAAUCUUUGGCCAAAGUAUGAAUGAGAUUUAGGAAGGCGUUCCAAAUCACAUUCAAGGUAAUCAUAUAAGCACACGAAUCACAUUGGAUAGUAGACAUGAAUAAACUAUCAAACCAAACAAUGUGGUCAAGAGUAUUGUAUUAGAGAAGGACCGUAUUGCAUUUUUAAUCCUAAACUGAAUAGGUUCUCCACCUCUUCUGAUUAGCUUGGGUAACCAUGAUAUGCUGCUAGGUGUCACCCAUGGUUUGUGGAAGCCCUAAACGUGUAUAAUCACUAAAGGGAGAAUUGAAAGUAAGUUUCAAUUCACAAUCGAUUUGAAAGAGUUUUAAUCGCCCACUGCCUCGCGAAAAGGAACCUAAUGGAUCGUACACCGUGUAAGGUGGAGAUUGAAGAAACAAUGGAGAUGAGUAAGAAUAAUUAAAAGGUUUAAUUAUUUAUGGCAAUGAUUAAUUAAUAUGUUAAUUAAUCAAACGAAUAAGUUCGUUAAAGACCUCGGGGUCGUUUUAGACCUUAAGGCCCAAUGGGCUUCGAACGUCAAGCCCAUUGACUUAAGUUGUAUGACAAUUUAAUGAAUAGAGAUUCACAAAGGCCCAAAAGCCCAAAUCCCUAAUGUGGCCGGCCAUAUGUGUUGAAUUAGGGUUUUUUGGUUCUUUAGGUCAUUUAUAGAAGUGACUAUAUAAAGAACUUUAUAGCCUAAAAUUCAUUAAGGGGUUCUUUUGGAGAAAAUUGGAGAGAACAUGUCUCUCCUUUUCUCUCUAGGAGGCCGGCCCCUUGGAGGGUGUAUCUAGCCAUACUACUACUCCAAGGUCACUCAUUCCUUCUCCAAUCUCUCCUUGGUGUGGAGACUUAGAGGUUCUCAAUUUUGGGAACUUGGAGAAACCUUUUCAUCCAUCCAAAUCCAUAGAUUUUAGAUGCAAGGAAUGAAGGCCCUCUCUUUGGGUGAUUAGCCUUUGCUUAUGCAAAGAGGAAUCUACAAAGGUAUAAAUUUCAACUCACUUUGUUUUGAGUUGAGUUUUGGUUCACCAAUCUACUAGGCUUUGAAUUUCAUGGGUAAUGUUUUGUUUUUGAGUGCAUGCAAGCAUGAUUCCGCCUUUUAAUUGUUAAAUGCAUGCUAUAGAUGUUAUUCAAAUGAACAUGUUUUCACAAAAUAAUCCUUCAAGUGAAUGCGCAACAAGGAAUCUCUAAUCAUCAUUAAGAGAGGAUGAAUACUCUAAGAUAUGAUUCUGGAAUCUUCGGCCGAAGUAUCGAGCAUAAUAAAGGAAAGCCUUCCUAUACGACUCAAUUGAAUCAUAUAAGAAGGAAUAAUCACAUUAGGGGUUUGACAUAAUAUAUCCAUACCCUAGUGAUGUGAUUGAGAGUAUUGUUUUAGAGAAGGAUCGAAUUACAUUGUAAUUCCAACUGAAUAGGUUCUCCGAACAACUUCUACAUUAGCUUGGGUAGCCAUGAUAUAUGGUUAGAUGUCACUCAUUGCUUGUGAGUUCUUCUAGAUUAUUAAAUGUAGUCGUCAAAGAAGAAGGUGAAUUAAAAGUAAGUUUUAAUUCACUAAGUGAUUGGAUUAAAUAUAAUCAAUUGGAUUGGUGCCAAUCACCUCACUGCCUUGCUAAUUAGAACCUAAAACGAUUGUUCACCAAUACACUCUUGUAGUGAGUAAUUAAUGGAUGAUGGAAAUAAUUAAUUGGAUUAAUUAAGUGUUGUGAUUAAUUAGAAAGUCUAAAGAAAUCAUAAAAGUGAUAUUAGAUCGUUUUGGGCUUAAAGAAACGUUCGGGUUUAAUUGGGCCCAUUGGGCCUAAACCCAUUGGGCUUUUAUUCAAGCAUUGGAUGACUUGAAAUAAAUAAAAGCCCAAAGCCGAAACAACACAAAGGGGCUGGCCAAAGGAGGGAGAGAAAGGUCAAAUGUUGACUUGUUUUUUUUUGGCUAUAAAAGGAACUUUAUAGCAAAUGUUUCAUUAGGGUUUUUUGAAGUGUUAAAAGAACAAAAGAGAAAAAGGAAAAAUAUCUCUCUAACACUCUAAGGGCCGGCCACCAUAGGGGGAUUUAGCUAAUCAUCUUUUCACCCAUUUGGUUAUUCUUUUAUCCUUCUCACUACACUAGUGGGUGAGGAUCUUUAGAGGUUUUCAAUUUUGGAAACUUGAAGAGAACCUAGGAGCACUCAUUCUAACAAAGUGGAGGAGGCUAGGCUCAAGGAGUUCAAGGAGCAAAGGGCUUGGAGGUGGUCCAUCCUUGGUCUAAGAUCUAGAUCAAGAGGUAUAAAACUACUCCUAAACUUUGUUCUUAUAUAUAAAUUUGUUUUUGAUGCAUCUUACAUAAACCUAUGCAUCUGGAAGGGGAUUUGCAUGACUAUUGCUUUGAUAUUAUUUGAUAACAUGCUUCCGUUGCUUUCGUAUAUAAAUUUUGAAUUGUAUAUGCAUGCUAGUCACUAGAAAUCCCACUUGAAAUCUCGUGGUUUUCCCUUCAAAUGGAUACGGUGGUGGUGGUGAUGUCGAAUGCACUGUUGACUUCUGUACUCGAAUGAUUAUGGUUAAGGAAGGAACAUGUCUCGACCUUGGGUUAUAGAACGUGAAGACAAGGUUGUCUAGAUAGCUACGAGUUCAGGAUCGCCUACACUAGGUUCAGCCGCCUUGACUACACUUGGACCUAACUGCCAAACCAAUUUUCCAGUGCAAACAUAAUCAUGGUAUGAAAUGGAGUUAGAUUAUAGAGGCAUAAAUAGACAUACUAAAGGAUGCCCAUUUUAUCAUCGAAGUGCAACAUCCGGAUUAGCUGGUGAACGUUGUGUUGGUACAAAAGAAGAACGGAAAAUGAAGGGCAUGUGGGGACUUUACUGACUUAAACAAGGCCUGUCCAAAAGAUCCAUACCCUCUUCCUGUUGAAAAUGUGCCCUAAAACCAAUCAUAUGAUGAUACUUUACGGACAUUUCACAUGUUAAACUAAUCUGGUUUUAUAUAAAGGGCAAAGAUUAUUGUUUUAAGCCAUCUCAUAUCAAUGUUAUAUGCUUAAAUGAUAAGUCCAAGGAAUAUGUAAUUGGGAGAAUGUGAUCUAAAGAAGUUAGAUUCAUGAGACCAUACUUUUUCGUAUACAUAUCCUAAACGUUCUUGACAAUAGGAUUGCCAAUUGGGCAUUGAUAGUCCGUUAAGAUCAGUACGUGCUAUGUCUUCUCUUAGAGAGAGUGACUGGUCUUGAGACUGACGCCAAGACAAGUAUGUAGGUGCUUAAUAGAGAAUGAGUCCAUUGAACACGAUCAACAAGGAGUUCUCAAACUCAUGUCACAUGAGAACUCAUGGUUGGGAUAAUGCAAAGUAGUCCUUUCACCUGAGGCAUCAUAGUUGUCUUAUGGUUAGGUCAUUGAUCUUUGACUAUGUCAAAGUCACUCCAUCAGAAGGUGUCCAGGACAUAGUUAGGGUUAAGCCACUUAGCCAUGGAGGCAAGUGAAUGCGCAACAAGGGAUCUCUAACCUUCAAACUGUUUGAGGGAGAAUAGUCUAUGAUAUGAUUAAGAAUCUCUGGCCAGAGUAUGAAUGAGAUUUAGGAAGUCAUUCCAAAUCACGUUCAAGGUAAUCAUAUAAGUAAGUGAAUCACAUUGGAUAGUAGACAUGAAUAAACUAUCAAUCCAAGUAAUGUGGUCAAGAGUAUUGUAUUAGAGAAAGACUGUAUUGCAUUGUAAUCUUAAACUGAAUAGGUUCUCCACCUUUUCUAAUUAGCUUGGGUAGCCAUGACAUACUGCUAGGUGUCACUCAUGGUUUGCGGAAGCGCUAAAGGUGUAUAAUCGCUAAAGGGAGAAUUGAAAGUAUGUAUCAAUUCACAAUCGAUUUGAAGAGUUCUAAUCACCCACUGCUUCGCUAAAAGGAACCUAAUGGAUCGUAUACCAUGUAAGGUAGAGAUUGAAGAAAUAACAUAGAUGAGUAAGAAUAAUUAAAUGGUUUAAUUAUUUAUGGCUGGGAUUAAUUAAUAUGUUUAUUAAUUAGAUGAAUAAGUUCGUUAUAGACCUCGGGUUAGUUUUGGGCCGCGAGGCGCAAUGGGGUUUGAGUAUCAAGUCCAAUAACUCAAGUUGUAUGACAACUUGAAACACAAAGGGCCUCAAAGGCCAAAGAACCCAAUAUGGCCGGCCAUAAGAGUGAUGGGUAGUGAACUUGGCUUAAUUACAAGUUUGCCGCUCCAUUGUGAGGUGGUAUAAAGGCAACUUUAUAGCCAUUUCAUCCUUGGAGUUUUUUUUUGGAGAAAAAGAUGAGAACAAUAGCUCUCAUUUUCUCUCUAGGAGGCUUGCCACCUUGGAGAAACUACUAGCAUCUAUUUCAACCAAGGUUACUCAUCUCUUCAUCAAUGCUGUCCUUGGUGUGGAGACUUAAAGGUUCUCUAUUUUGGGAACUUGGAGAAUCCAUGCUACCAUCCUCAUCCAAGAAAUCCAUGGCGCGAAGAAGUAAGGAAUGAAGGCCCUAUCUCUUGGUUGAUUAGCCUUUGCUUAUGCAAAGAGGGAUCAACAAAGGUAUAAUAUUUCUCAACUCACCUUGUUCUUGAGUUGAUUCUUGGUUCACCACACUCACUAGGCCUUGAAUUUCAUGGGUAAAGUUUUGUUUUUUUAGUGCAUACAAGCAUGAUUCCGCCUUUUAAUUGUUAAUUGCAUGCAUAGAUGUUGCUCAAAUGAACUAGUUUUCACAAAUAUUUCCUUGAAGUGGUAUCAGAGUCUAGGUCUAGUAAUUGGUGAAUCCUUUUGGGUUUUGUAGUUCAUAAUCUUUGAUUUAAAUGUUGUAAUUGUUACAAGCUUUAUUCUUGCUUCUUUAAAUGUAAAUUUUGCUAGAAAAUUUGUCAUCUCAAAUGUUGUAGAUGUAGUUCAUAUGAGCAUGAAUUUUGGAGCUAAAAUAUGAUGCCAUGUUUUUGGGGAAAUUCUGCCAAAUCCGAAGGGUGAAUUUUUUGAUUCAUGUUUGUCUUGUUCAAAGUGUUUUAAAGUGAAUUUGGAACCCCUAAGUACACUAGGAUGUUAACCCUCUUUUGAGUAGUGAAAAUUUGAGUUUUAUUGAGUUAAAACAUUCAUGGAGCUCUUAUGAGUUUUCAUGAUGUUCUUCAAUGUUCUUGCUUUGUUCAUACCAAGAACAAAAAGUUUGGAGAUUUGAUUCAAAGUUUUGGUUGGUUACAUAAAGUCUUUGUUUUGUGUUGGUUGGUGUGACUUUUCAAUCAACAAGACAUUUAAAAAAAAAAAAAAGUGAUUGGAAGGUUGAGUGUUUGAAAUUAUGUUAGUCAUCGUUGGUGUGUACUUUGCUUUCACACCCAUACCUAUUUUAUUUCAACACCUUACCUAUUUUUCAACUUACUUGACUUUGUCUUUCAUAAAAAACCACUCCCUCACAAUACCAUGACCGGCCACCCAAUUAAAGUAGGGUACUUUUGGGGCUUUUAUGCAAUUACAUAAAGUUUUGAUACUUUUUUGUAUUUGCACUUUGACCUGAAAGUUUACGUUUUUACGUAAAGGCCCAAAAUCACUAAAGGACAAUUUGUUUUGCUCCUUUAAUGAAUUUUUUGCAUUUGUUGAAAUUUUGGGUUCUAGUUGUAAUUACAUGAAGUAGUGGACUUUUGUGUUUUUACAAAGUGACCUCAAAAGUUUGUGUUUUGCAAUAUAGCCCAAUGGUUGAGGUUAUUGCUUUUUGGCCCAAAUUAGUUGAGAACAAAAUAGUUUUGUAUCUUUAAAUGAGAAUUGGAUUUUCAUUUCAUUUAGCUCCAUCUAAAUCAAUUCUAUGGAUACAUAAACCAAAUGACAAUGUUGCAUUCAAAUUUAAUUAGUUAAAGUGUUAAUUAAUUAAAGAAAGGGUGAUUAUGAACCUAAGCCUAUGAUAAUUGAGCUAUGUGAAACACCGUCUCUCAAAUUUGUUUGAACCAUGGAAAUGUGUAGAUUAGAUUUUGGUUGUAAUUUGAUAUGAUGAAAUGUUGUAAAAGAGCAUAAGCUAUUCUUUACUUUAAAGUAAUUUGUUUUGAUCAAAUGUUGUAAAAGAACAUAAGCUCUUCUUUACUUUGAAGUACUCAUUUUCUUGUUUUAUUUGACUGCAUGAAAUUGGAGUAGUAGGGUCCAACGCCCAAUAAGAAAAACACGUCUUAAUGUGAUUAAAAGCGUAACUAAAAUCAAUCACCAUUCCUAGACCGAGAUCCAACAGUAGGCUCAUGUUGGAUCGAAUCAAAGGUUCAUAGUCAUCCUAAGGCCCUAAGGCAACUAUAUAUUCCAUCAAUGAAUGCGAAGCUUAUGUUAGUAGUACCAUAUAUUCUUGCUUUAAAAACUAUUUUACAGGCAUAGUGGGAGUAUCAUAUACUACUAAAUCAAUCACAUGGACCAAUAGUUGUAAUAGGACCAAAUUGUUUUAAUAAGAUUAAAAAGCUUGCUUAUAUGUGAUGAGACCUAAAACCCUCAACCAAACCAUUAUUAAGUUGACAAGUGUGAGAGUGCUUUGACAUUUUUUCAUGGCCUUUCACCGUGCUAGGCUCCAAUCGUUUGUGACUCGUACACCGACUUCACCCUAUCAUGGAGGAGUACAAAGUGCGUGUUUACACUCAAGAGGAAUCCUAUACGCAUACAUGAUGUUGUGAAGGUAGGCAAUGAGAAUGAUCAAUAUCAUAUCAUUGUGAGGUUGUUCUUGAACCCCUACCCGAAUUUGCAUGGUGGGAAUGACUUAACUAAGUGCAAUGGAGUCAACAUCAUAUCAUUGUGAGGCAUCAUUCUCUAGAGACCAAAUAAGAUGGGUACUUAGAUGAGAUGUAAAUGAGUAAGCGUACUCUCUCAUUAUUAUUGUUGCUAGCCAACAUCAUAUCAUUGUGAGGUGGGCUUGGUAAUAGUGAGUCUCCCAUACCUUACUAAGAGUUUCCUCCAAAACUCUCGAAUUCCGAUGAGGGAUAUGGAAUUUGCCAAAAAUAGUGGGUGGUGCUAUUUGAUUUAAAGACUGAGAUCAAAUAGCUUAAAAUCAAUCAAUUUAUAUUCGUUAUGUAUUUAUUUACCGAUAUAUUUGCAAAUGCUAUCCAAAACUUGACAAAUAAAAGCCGAAGGCUUUAGUUUCCGGACUUGGUACCACAAUACCAUAGAUUGUCUUGAAUGGAUUGUAUGUGUACCUAAGUAGUCUCAUUCUUACAAUCUUCCUAUUGAUAAUGUAUCAUUGGAAGAACAUAUUAGAUAAGUCUAUCAUAAAGAGGACAACACUUUUAGUGUCAUAAUUCUUCACUUACAAAUCGUUGUAUGAAGAAAUAAGCGUUGCUUUGAACAACCCUUAGUUAACGCAAACACUAGUGCUUGUUUCUUUGUUAAAUGAACAAGGAACUUGAGAAGUAAGCACAAGGGCAUGGACACUUUAUGUGCCAUGAUUCUUCACUUACAAAUUGUUGUCUGAAUAAAUGAGAGUUGCCUUGAACAAUUCUUGAAAGUUUGUAAUUAUGUUUAGAACAUAAUGGUUGAUUGACAAAAAUAGUCCAUCAACAUGGACUUAUGAUGAUUUUGAAUCAUUGAGUGCUGAAGUGUUAAACCACUCCAAGAGACGGAAGCUAGGCAAAGACUUCACCUUUGUGUCCCUAUCCAAAUGGUUCACUAAGUUUAUUGUAAACUAUCUAGUGAACAUUAACCGCACACUCUCCAAAUCGUUUGAUGUGUAUAAACACAAUUGAAAUAAGUUUCAAGAGAGAUAAUGGGAGUUUAGGGACCAUGACUAUUGUAGUCAAAGAAGAAGUCAAAUGAAGAAGGCAAAAUAACUCCAAGGGAACAAACUUUCUUUAUGAAAGGAUGGACAUUGGAAGGGGUAUUUGCAAGAAAUGUCUUGCAAGUGUCAAGAACACACCUUUCGAAGGUGUUGUAAAUUGUUCUUGAAUAAGUUCAAAAUAGUUGGUUCUUCUACUUGAAUGCAUGAUUCCGUAUUAGUAACUAUGUUUUACAAUAGUUGUAUAAGUGUGGCUAAUAAGAAGUAGAAGAUUAAUGAGAGAAGAGAAAGUACUUCACAUUCAGAACGUGAAUAAAAUAUAGAUCUCUACCAAAGCAGAUAAUACUUACUUCCUCAUAUGAACUACCAAAGAAAUUGGAAAACCAAAUAUUGUCUUUACAUUCCAAUUUGAAUAAGAAACUUAAUUCCAUCACUAGAAGAGAUGGAUGAAUGUUUUGUUUGACAAAACAUUAUUCUUUAUUAAUGAAUGAUUGGAUUAUUGUAAUCUAAUUGAUUGUCUCUAUAGUAGAGAUGAUGUGGUAGUGUUGACUGUUUAGAAUAUAACAAUGCUUAAAGCCAAAAAUGUUGCAAGAUAGUGACUAAUCCCACUGAGUUGUGACACCUCUAAAACAUAAAUUACAAGUUGGUCAUAAAUGGAUGCUUUGGAUUGUUAGAUCCGGAUCCAAUGCCUUCUUGUUAAAAUUGUAUAGAGGAGAAAUGUUCGAAUCUUUAUUCUUUUAGAAAGAAUAAAGAAUCACAAAGUUGUUGAGGUUAAUUCACUUAGAUGUUAGUGGGACUUGUCCACAACAUAAUACUACUCAUGUUGUAUGACAUUCACCAAAGAUCGCUCUCGGUUGGACUAUCGUUUAUUUUGAAUAAACACAAGUCCAAAUGCUUUGCAAAAGGUUUCAAAGAAUUCAAGAAUGUAAGUUGAUGAGUAAGACGUCUAAAGUAUUUAUCUCCUUUGAUUUGAUCCAAGGAAAAAUAACAUUUUAGAAGAGUUUCCUUGAAAGAUAUCAAGGAAAGUAGCAUCAAAUACCCAUAUACAGGAUACAUACUUCUAAGACAAUAUGAUUGUCAAUUAGAAGAUCUUCCAAAAUUUUCAUGACUCCAUAGGAUAUAGUUGGAAAGAAAGACAAGUCUUAAGCGUGUUAAGAUUUGGGGUUGUGUGCUAAUAAGCAAUAUUUGUUUGAGAACAAUCUUGUGGGAUAUCCUUAAAUUAACCUUUGGAUAUCACUUCUAUAAACCAACUAAUAAAUGUUAUUUGUUGGGUAGUUCAUUGUAGUCCUAUCAAAGGAUUUUCCUAAUAUAAAGCAAAUGAACGAAAGAUAGAACUCAAAGAAUGGGAUCUUUGAGAUACAAGAUGAUAAUCAACUAAUAUAACAACCUAGUUCCUCCACCAGUAGCUCCAAGGUAGUUGAGAAAGAUUUAUAAACCGUCUCAGUUGAAUGGUUUGAAUUUUAUGACUAAGCCAUAGAGUUACACCUCUUAAUUCGAAAGAAAUAAGAAUGAAAAUCCUUAUGACUACAUUGAGUAUAUAUAUGACAUACACUCAAGAAAAUGGUAUAGUACCAUUUGACCCGAAAUAUUGAAACCUUCAUAGCUAAUUGGUAGCUUAAGAUGACUGCAACCAUAAAGAUUGGUUGACUUAGAAGAA